RNAcentral lists this ribosomal RNA (316 nucleotides) under uncultured bacterium. RNAcentral describes it as "bacterial SSU rRNA". It matches the Rfam family "Bacterial small subunit ribosomal RNA", at positions 31 to 340 of the family's 1533-position model. The record is from RNAcentral.
GAACGCUGGCGGCGUGCCUAACACAUGCAAGUCGAGCGGACCAGAAAUGGAGGUAACUUUAUUUCUGGUUAGCGGCGAACGGGUGAGUAACACGUGGGUAACCUGCCCUCAGGAGGAGGAUAACUCGGGGAAACCUGAGCUAAUACUCCAUAAGACCACGAGCUGAAAUGCUUGUGGUAAAAGAAGCAAUUCACCUGAGGAUGGGCCCGCGGCCUAUCAGGUAGUUGGUAGGGUAAUGGCCUACCAAGCCUAUGACGGGUAGCCGAGCUGANAGGCUGGCCGGCCACACUGGGACUGAGACACGGCCCAGACUCCU